RNAcentral lists this ribosomal RNA (293 nucleotides) under uncultured bacterium. RNAcentral's name for it is "partial 16S ribosomal RNA". It matches the Rfam family "Bacterial small subunit ribosomal RNA", at positions 790 to 1084 of the family's 1533-position model. The record is from RNAcentral.
GUAGUCCACGCCGUAAACGGUGGGCGCUAGAUGUGGGGACCUUCCACGGUUUCUGCGUCGCAGCUAACGCAUUAAGCGCCCCGCCUGGGGAGUACGGUCGCAAGACUAAAACUCAAAGGAAUUGACGGGGCCCGCACAAGCGGCGGAGCAUGUUGCUUAAUUCGACGCAACGCGAAGAACCUUACCAAGGCUUGACAUCGCCGGAAAACUCGCAGAGAUGCGGGGGUCCUUUUGGGCCGGUGACAGGUGGUGCAUGGCUGUCGUCAGCUCGUGUCGUGAGAUGUUGGGUUAAG